AUUGAACGCUGGCGGCAGGCCUAACACAUGCAAGUCGAACGGUAACAGGAAGCAGCUUGCUGCUUUGCUGACGAGUGGCGGACGGGUGAGUAAUGUCUGGGAAACUGCCNGAUGGAGGGGGAUAACUACUGGAAACGGUAGCUAAUACCGCAUAACGUCGCAAGACCAAAGAGGGGGACCUUAGGGCCUCUUGCCAUCGGAUGUGCCCAGAUGGGAUUAGCUAGUAGGUGGGGUAACGGCUCACCUAGGCGACGAUCCCUAGCUGGUCUGAGAGGAUGACCAGCCACACUGGAACUGAGACACGGUCCAGACUCCUACGGGAGGCAGCAGUGGGGAAUAUUGCACAAUGGGCGCAAGCCUGAUGCAGCCAUGCCGCGUGUAUGAAGAAGGCCUUCGGGUUGUAAAGUACUUUCAGCGGGGAGGAAGGGAGUAAAGUUAAUACCUUUGCUCAUUCACGUUACCCGCAGAAGAAGCACCGGCUAACUCCGUGCCAGCAGCCGCGGUAAUACGGAGGGUGCAAGCGUAAAUCGGAAUUACUGGGCGUAAAGCGCACGCAGGCGGUUUGUUAAGUCAGAUGUGAAAUCCCCGGGCUCAACCUGGGAACUGCAUCUGAUACUGGCAAGCUUGAGUCUCGUAGAGGGGGGNAGAAUUCCAGGUGUAGCGGUGAAAUGCGUAGAGAUCUGGAGGAAUACCGGUGGCGAAGGCGGCCCCCUGGACGAAGACUGACGCUCAGGUGCGAAAGCGUGGGGAGCAAACAGGAUUAGAUACCCUGGUAGUCCACGCCGUAAACGAUGUCGACUUGGAGGUUGUGCCCUUGAGGCGUGGCUUCCGGAGCUAACGCGUUAAGUCGACCGCCUGGGGAGUACGGCCGCAAGGUUAAAACUCAAAUGAAUUGACGGGGGCCCGCACAAGCGGUGGAGCAUGUGGUUUAAUUCGAUGCAACGCGAAGAACCUUACCUGGUCUUGACAUCCACGGAAGU
RNAcentral lists this ribosomal RNA (980 nucleotides) under Escherichia coli. RNAcentral's name for it is "bacterial SSU rRNA". It matches the Rfam family "Bacterial small subunit ribosomal RNA", at positions 28 to 997 of the family's 1533-position model. The record is from RNAcentral. Lineage: Bacteria; Pseudomonadati; Pseudomonadota; Gammaproteobacteria; Enterobacterales; Enterobacteriaceae.